RNAcentral lists this small nuclear RNA (163 nucleotides) under Dasypus novemcinctus (nine-banded armadillo). RNAcentral's name for it is "U1 spliceosomal RNA (ENSDNOG00000046569.1)". It matches the Rfam family "U1 spliceosomal RNA". Rfam says of the family: U1 is a small nuclear RNA (snRNA) component of the spliceosome (involved in pre-mRNA splicing). Its 5' end forms complementary base pairs with the 5' splice junction, thus defining the 5' donor site of an intron. The record is from RNAcentral. Lineage: Eukaryota; Metazoa; Chordata; Mammalia; Cingulata; Dasypodidae.
ACACUUACUUGGCAGGGGAGAUGCUGUGACCACACAGGAGGUUUUCCCAGGCUGAGGCUCAUCCUUGCCCUCCAGGUGAGCUGACCCCUGUGAUUUCCCCAAAUGUGGGGGACUCCGCCCUAUAAUCUGUGGUAGUGGGGGACUGCGUUCACACUUCCUCCUG